Molecule: ribosomal RNA, 599 nt
Filed under: Aequorea coerulescens (belt jellyfish)
Lineage: Eukaryota; Metazoa; Cnidaria; Hydrozoa; Leptothecata; Aequoreidae
Description: partial 16S ribosomal RNA
Rfam family: Bacterial large subunit ribosomal RNA
Source: RNAcentral
CCAAAAACAUAGCCCUAGAAAAAAUCUAAGGUGUAACCUGCCCAGUGAUCUUUAAUUAUAAUAAGAUAAAAUCUUAAUAAUAAGAUUAAAAGGACGCGGUAACCUUGACCGUGAUAAUGUAGCAUAAUCACUCGCCAUUUAAUUGAUGGAUAGUAUGAAUGGUUGAACGAAUAUUUCACUGUCUUAGAAAAAAUUAACAAAAAUUGAAAUAAUAGUUAAGAUGCUAUUUAAAACUGUAAGACGAAAAGACCCUAUAGAGCUUAACUAUAAUCUCUUUACUCCUAAAAGAAUAAUAUUUCUAUCAUUAAAGAGAUUGGUAGUUUAGUUGGGGCGACUGCCUUCUAAAAUUAACGAAGGUAAGCAAUGUUAAUAAAUAAUUUAUUGUAUAACACAAACGUUUAACAAUUAUAACAAUAGGCUAUAAUGACCCGUUUUUACUUAGUAAAAAGAAAAACGAUUAAUUAAUAAAAGCUACCUUAGGGAUAACAGGAUAAUUUUAUUUUAGAGUUCACAUCGAAAAUAAAGUUUGUCACCUCUAUGUUGAAUUAAGAUAUCCUGAUAAUGCAGCAGUUAUCAAAGGUAGGUCUGUUCGACCUUUA